This 490-nucleotide ribosomal RNA is filed under the name uncultured bacterium. RNAcentral describes it as "partial 16S ribosomal RNA". It matches the Rfam family "Bacterial small subunit ribosomal RNA", at positions 28 to 507 of the family's 1533-position model. The record is from RNAcentral.
GAUGAACGCUAGCGAUAGGCUUAACACAUGCAAGUCGAGGGGCAGCAUGGCCUUAGCUUGCUAAGACUGAUGGCGACCGGCGCACGGGUGCGUAACGCGUAUGCAACUUGCCUCACAGAGGGGGAUAACCCGUCGAAAGACGGACUAAUACCGCGUACACUCUAUUUUGGGCAUCCAAGGUAGAGGAAAUGAAAUUCGCUGUGAGAUAGGCAUGCGUCCCAUUAGCUAGUUGGUGAGGUAACGGCUCACCAAGGCGACGAUGGGUAGGGGAACUGAGAGGUUGAACCCCCACACUGGUACUGAGACACGGACCAGACUCCUACGGGAGGCAGCAGUGAGGAAUAUUGGUCAAUGGGCGAGAGCCUGAGCCAGCCAAGUCGCGUGAAGGAUGACUGUCUUAUGGAUUGUAAACUUCUUUUGUAGGGGAAUAAAGAGGGGCACGUGUGCCCCAGUGAAUGUACCCUACGAAUAAGCAUCGGCUAACUCCGUG